GGGGAGGUCGCAUAGAGGCCUAGUGCGGUGGUUUGCUAAACCGCUAUCGGGGUAACCUGAUCGAGGGUUCGAAUCCCUCCCUCCCCGCCA
This 90-nucleotide transfer RNA is filed under the name Roseiflexaceae bacterium. Its description in RNAcentral is "tRNA-Ser". It matches the Rfam family "tRNA". Rfam says of the family: Transfer RNA (tRNA) molecules are approximately 80 nucleotides in length. Their secondary structure includes four short double-helical elements and three loops (D, anti-codon, and T loops). The record is from RNAcentral. Lineage: Bacteria; Bacillati; Chloroflexota; Chloroflexia; Chloroflexales; Roseiflexaceae.